GUCCUGUAAUGUUGUGUUGUCAUUUUAAUGUUAUAUUUCACAUGGCUAUAAAAGAGGGAGGUUUGGCAUGCCACAAAACCAGGUUCAACCCACCAUUUUUGUCUUUAAAAAUGUCCUGUACCAAGUCAGGAAUAUGGCCAUUGUUAUAUUAUAGUUCGUUUCUGUGUGUUUUACAUUUUAACGUUGUGUUUCCGUUGUGUCGUUUGUUUUCUCUUAUAUUUGAGUGUGAAUUCACAUUACUAUAAGACGUGUCACGGUACUUAUCUAUCCCAAAAUUCAUGUAUUUGGUUUUGAUGUUAUAUUUGUUAUUCUCAUAGGAUUUUGUCUAAUGCUUAGUCCGUUUCUGUGUGUGUUACAUUUUAAUGUUGUG
RNAcentral lists this long non-coding RNA (370 nucleotides) under Mytilus galloprovincialis (Mediterranean mussel). Lineage: Eukaryota; Metazoa; Mollusca; Bivalvia; Mytilida; Mytilidae. The record is from RNAcentral.